This 75-nucleotide transfer RNA is filed under the name Metallosphaera hakonensis JCM 8857 = DSM 7519. RNAcentral describes it as "tRNA-Arg". It matches the Rfam family "tRNA". Rfam says of the family: Transfer RNA (tRNA) molecules are approximately 80 nucleotides in length. Their secondary structure includes four short double-helical elements and three loops (D, anti-codon, and T loops). Further hydrogen bonds mediate the characteristic L-shaped molecular structure. tRNAs have two regions of fundamental functional importance: the anti-codon, which is responsible for specific mRNA codon recognition, and the 3' end, to which the tRNAs corresponding amino acid is attached (by aminoacyl-tRNA synthetases). tRNAs cope with the degeneracy of the genetic code in two manners: having more than one tRNA (with a specific anti-codon) for a particular amino acid; and 'wobble' base-pairing, i.e. permitting non-standard base-pairing at the 3rd anti-codon position. Lineage: Archaea; Thermoproteati; Thermoproteota; Thermoprotei; Sulfolobales; Sulfolobaceae. The record is from RNAcentral.
GGACCCGUAGCUCAGCCAGGACAGAGCGCGGGCCUUCGGAGCCCGUGGUCCCGGGUUCGAAUCCCGGCGGGUCCG